RNAcentral lists this transfer RNA (75 nucleotides) under Candidatus Aerophobota bacterium. RNAcentral describes it as "tRNA-Gln". It matches the Rfam family "tRNA". From Rfam's summary of the family: Transfer RNA (tRNA) molecules are approximately 80 nucleotides in length. Their secondary structure includes four short double-helical elements and three loops (D, anti-codon, and T loops). Further hydrogen bonds mediate the characteristic L-shaped molecular structure. tRNAs have two regions of fundamental functional importance: the anti-codon, which is responsible for specific mRNA codon recognition, and the 3' end, to which the tRNAs corresponding amino acid is attached (by aminoacyl-tRNA synthetases). tRNAs cope with the degeneracy of the genetic code in two manners: having more than one tRNA (with a specific anti-codon) for a particular amino acid; and 'wobble' base-pairing, i.e. permitting non-standard base-pairing at the 3rd anti-codon position. Lineage: Bacteria; Candidatus Aerophobota. The record is from RNAcentral.
UGGGGUGUGGCGAAGCGGUAACGCAGCGGACUUUGGAUCCGCCAUUCGGAGGUUCGAAUCCUCCCACCCCAACUA